Molecule: ribosomal RNA, 407 nt
Filed under: uncultured bacterium
Lineage: Bacteria
Description: bacterial SSU rRNA
Rfam family: Bacterial small subunit ribosomal RNA
Source: RNAcentral
UGGCGGACGGGUGAGUAAUGUAUCGGAACGUGCCCAGUCGUGGGGGAUAACUGCUCGAAAGAGCAGCUAAUACCGCAUACGACCUGAGGGUGAAAGCGGGGGAUCGCAAGACCUCGCGCGAUUGGAGCGGCCGAUAUCAGAUUAGGUAGUUGGUGGGGUAAAGGCUCACCAAGCCAACGAUCCGUAGCUGGUCUGAGAGGAUGAUCAGCCACAUUGGGACUGAGACACGGCCCAAACUCCUACGGGAGGCAGCAGUGGGGAAUCUUGCGCAAUGGGCGAAAGCCUGACGCAGCCAUGCCGCGUGAAUGAUGAAGGUCUUAGGAUUGUAAAAUUCUUUCACCGGGGACGAUAAUGACGGUACCCGGAGAAGAAGCCCCGGCUAACUUCGUGCCAGCAGCCGCGGUAAU